GCCAGGAGCAGAGCUGGAAAAUGUAAUGCUGCACCACCUCACUGAGCCAAGGAACCUGACCGGAGGGCCCACCGCCACCUGCUUGCUGUCAGUUUUUGAAUUCAUUUGUUCAAUCAUCACCGACUCAUUCAUUCAAGAAAAUUUAUUGAGCACGUCAGCUUCUGCCAUCAUUGAACUCACAGUCUAACUGGCCCCGGACAGUCUCAUGGGUCCUACGCACGGUGUCUGCUGGGCCUAGUAAAAUCGAUCCUGCAUGCUGUCAACUCACGUGCCAGAAUGUUGUAAAGAAGGAAGGAGGCUGUUAAG
Myotis brandtii (Brandt's bat) is the source of this 306-nucleotide long non-coding RNA. RefSeq lists it as uncharacterized. The record is from RefSeq and is a predicted model, not a curated record. NCBI's taxonomy places the organism in Eukaryota, Metazoa, Chordata, Mammalia, Chiroptera, Vespertilionidae. The transcript is spliced from 3 exons.